RNAcentral lists this unclassified non-coding RNA (253 nucleotides) under Melitaea cinxia (Glanville fritillary). RNAcentral describes it as "misc RNA ENSMCXG00005015425.1". Lineage: Eukaryota; Metazoa; Arthropoda; Insecta; Lepidoptera; Nymphalidae. The record is from RNAcentral.
CAUUUUAAAUUUAUUUAGUAUGCAAUUUCAUUUCUAUUGUUAUUACUUUUAAUAAAUAAAAAAUAAAUAAAUAUAUUUUAAUUGAUUUUUACUCCGUAACACACAAUGUUGUGUUAGUAGUGUCUUUAACCAUAUUUCUCUCCGAUAGAGUAACUCUUUUUUUAUUCCUAAUAAUAGUGUGAUACGAAAACACAUGUGUUUUUCAUUUCCUUUAUGAAUUUCACAACAUUUAUGCAUGAAAAUAACAUAUUAC